UACGUAGGGGGCGAGCGUUGUCCGGAUUUAUUGGGCGUAAAGAGCGUGUAGGCGGCCAGGUAGGUCUGCUGUGAAAACUCGAGGCUCAACCUCGAGACGUCGGCGGAAACCAUCUGGCUAGAGUCCGGAAGAGGAGAGUGGAAUUCCUGGUGUAGCGGUGAAAUGCGCAGAUAUCUGGAGGAACACCGGUGGCGAAGGCGGCAUCCUGGACCGGCAUUGACGCUGAGGCGCGAAAGCCAGGGGAGCAAACGGG
Molecule: ribosomal RNA, 253 nt
Filed under: uncultured bacterium
Lineage: Bacteria
Description: partial 16S ribosomal RNA
Rfam family: Bacterial small subunit ribosomal RNA
Source: RNAcentral